UCUGGUUGACCUCGGAUCAGGUAGGAAUACCCGCUGAACUUAAGCAUAUCAAUAAGCGGAGGAA
Molecule: ribosomal RNA, 64 nt
Filed under: Nigrospora sp.
Lineage: Eukaryota; Fungi; Ascomycota; Sordariomycetes; Amphisphaeriales; Apiosporaceae
Description: partial 28S ribosomal RNA
Rfam family: Eukaryotic large subunit ribosomal RNA
Source: RNAcentral